UUCGGAGUAGUUCAACGGUAGAACGGCUGGCUGUUAACCAGACGAUUGAGGUUCGAGUCCUUGCUCCGGAG
RNAcentral lists this transfer RNA (71 nucleotides) under Planctomycetaceae bacterium. RNAcentral describes it as "tRNA-Asn". It matches the Rfam family "tRNA". Rfam says of the family: Transfer RNA (tRNA) molecules are approximately 80 nucleotides in length. Their secondary structure includes four short double-helical elements and three loops (D, anti-codon, and T loops). The record is from RNAcentral. Lineage: Bacteria; Pseudomonadati; Planctomycetota; Planctomycetia; Planctomycetales; Planctomycetaceae.